GUGGUACAAUAAAGUCUCCUCAGAGGACGCCGCGAUGCAUAUUUUACUAAAAAUAUUCCUGCGAGUAAAAGACGAGCUGCACAGUUGUGAUGCCGGCAUGCAUCUCUUACUUCGUGCAGCAAGUGAUACUACUGCAGCGAGUAUUUGUGUUUCUCAUUGUAAAUUCGGUAUAUCGCGUUAUAAUUCAUUGAAUUUAGUGUUAAUUUUGUGUUUAGUCACCCGCUACAUAAUUUUCGCGUGUGUAAACUUCGGAAUUCGAUAUUUUGUGUGUUUAUUACAUUUACGCGUGUAUUUGUGAUCGGUUGCCGUCGCACGCCGGCUGGUCUCGUUGUGUGAUUGUAAAUAAUAUUGUAGUUAAUUUUGGUCUUGUGCGAACCAUUUCUAUCUUAAACAGAACUCGUCGAAUCAAUGUGCUACCUGUAUUUACUCGCAUUUGAUUUCGGGUGUUCGAUACACUGUAUUUGCCAUGCCUUGGAGUCCAUGAGUUUUGCAUUGCAAUUGCCUUCGAGUUCCGAUGCCUGACUUACGAGCUAAGUUUGAAUUCGAAUUUCAUUCGCUUCGUCGUUCGACUCCCGUUUAAAAUAAAAUAAAUAUUGACACUCCUUCCCGCAUUUCCGCUUAACAAUGUUAUUUAUUUCACAGAUUUUAUCACCUUCAACAAUAGUUCUGAGUGUUGCAACGAGUGAAAUACUGGUAUGUGUUGUUGGAUGAAGCAUUGGCUAAUUCUGAGAUGACCAUGUUUAUCAAUAGGGACCAACUGGAGAGGUUCCGUG
Molecule: long non-coding RNA, 773 nt
Organism: Dalotia coriaria
Lineage: Eukaryota; Metazoa; Arthropoda; Insecta; Coleoptera; Staphylinidae
Exons: 5
Source: RefSeq, a predicted model, not a curated record